GAUCAUCAUAGAAAGUUUGUUUUUGCAAAAUGUCCCUGAAGAAUAGAGUAGGAAAGGGAAGCAUCUAGCCUUUCUCAGAGGCACCAGAGCAAAAAGGCCAACGAAACUGCCAAGGAACAUAAACCCUAUCAUCCAUCCGAGGAUGAUUUUAUUUGAGGAGCCUUCACCGGAGACUGUUUCAAUCAAAAUGGCAACAGGCCAACGGUGCAUGUUAUCCACAGUGGAUUAUGCAAAUUGGGGCUUCUUUUGCUUCAAGUUGGUGGCACACUGCAGUUUGAUCAAGAACAGUAGGCAAUGCUGGUCAUCUCAAAAUUGGAAGACGAGCCAAGUCCAUCAUGCAAGCAGAUUUUGCUAUGGUACUUAGCAGACAACUGUACCAACUAUGCAGCUUUUCAUCCGCACAGAAGACCUCCACUUCUACCAUAAAUCAUUUUGAAGUAUCCGAUCAAUUACAUAUUUUAACUUUAUUUCAGAAGUUACAUUUCUAGAAGACUGCAAAUUUCUAAGGUUCCCAUGUAUAUAUGCAAAGAGAAAAGGGUUCAUGAUGGGUUCCUUAAA
Panicum virgatum (switchgrass) is the source of this 558-nucleotide long non-coding RNA. RefSeq lists it as uncharacterized. The transcript is spliced from 4 exons. The record is from RefSeq and is a predicted model, not a curated record. Lineage: Eukaryota; Viridiplantae; Streptophyta; Magnoliopsida; Poales; Poaceae.